This 497-nucleotide ribosomal RNA is filed under the name uncultured bacterium. Its description in RNAcentral is "partial 16S ribosomal RNA". It matches the Rfam family "Bacterial small subunit ribosomal RNA", at positions 28 to 507 of the family's 1533-position model. The record is from RNAcentral.
GAUGAACGCUGGCGGCGUGCCUAAUACAUGCAAGUCGAGCGAACGGACGAGAAGCUUGCUUCUCUGAUGUUAGCGGCGGACGGGUGAGUAACACGUGGAUAACCUACCUAUAAGACUGGGAUAACUUCGGGAAACCGGAGCUAAUACCGGAUAAUAUUUUGAACCGCAUGGUUCAAAAGUGAAAGACGGUCUUGCUGCCACUUAUAGAUGGAUCCGCGCUGCAUUAGCUAGUUGGUAAGGUAACGGCUUACCAAGGCAACGAUGCAUAGCCGACCUGAGAGGGUGAUCGGCCACACUGGAACUGAGACACGGUCCAGACUCCUACGGGAGGCAGCAGUAGGGAAUCUUCCGCAAUGGGCGAAAGCCUGACGGAGCAACGCCGCAUGAGUGAUGAAGGUCUUCGGAUCGUAAAACUCUGUUAUUAGGGAAGAACAUAUGUGUAAGUAACUGUGCACAUCUUGACGGUACCUAAUCAGAAAGCCACGGCUAACUACGUG